CAUUGUGGGCAGAGGGAUCCUCCUCGGAUCAUCACCGGAACGAAUCUGCGAGAGGUCCGGAGAAGCACUGAGUGGCCACGGAGGGAACGUCUGAGAAUCCCUAGCAAAGAAAAUGGAGUGAAACUCAAAUUUCAUCGACACUCUUUUAUGUCAGAGUGGCUAAAACUCUGUCUUGUGUUGUGCUGUAAGUUAAAACUGGCUUCAUUCAGUACCAGGUGAGAUCCUGACUCUGUUAAGCCAGUAUAGAAAACAGGAGUGGGCCCAGUGCUGAGCCCUGGGAAACACCACUGGUGACCAGCUGCCAACUGGAUUUCACUCCAUCCCCACUGCUCUUCAAGCCUGGCCAUCAGGUAGUUUUUUACCCACCUGAGCCAUGAGUUUCUCCAAGAGGAUGCUGUAGAAGAUGGCAUCAAAGGCUUCCUGGAGUCCAGCAGGUGUACCUCUGCAGGGACCAUGGCCCAAGGAUAAAUCCAGACUGGAGAAAGUACACCUCAAAGCAUCUGUGGCUGUGGAUUUGUCCAUGCUGCAAGUACCCUUCAAAGCAUGAAUGGCUGUGCAUGAGGUCAUGCUGGAGAUCUCGAAGUGUGUGGCCAUGAGUAAGCCCAGAAUAGAGCAGGUACCCCCCUGGAGGGACUGUAGCCAUGGGUAAGGUCACCUUGGAGCAGGUUUACUUCUGAAGGGUCUGUGCCUGUGGGUACAGCCACACUUCAGCAGGUGUAUCUCUGAAGGCACGCUGGAACAGGUGCAGCUCCAAGUGACUGGCUGUGGGUAAGGCUGUGUUACAGCAGGUACACCCCUGGGGAGGCUGUGGCUCAUAGCUAAAGCUCCACUUAGAGCAGGUACACCCCUAAGAAACUGCAGCCUGUGGCUAGGUCCAAGUUGAGUGGCAGCAUGGGGAGGAGCUCCUUGCAAUGCUAAACCACAUGGUGUGGUCCAAAGGCAUCCAGGCUGGGGAUUCACUGAAUUACAGGACGCAUUGAGUUGAAAGAGACCCUUGAAAGUCAUCUUGUCCAGCCCUCCUGCAGUGACAUCUUCAAGUAGAUCAGGUUGCUCAGGGCCCCAUCAACUUUGACCUUGAAUAUCUCCAGGGAUGGAACCUCCACCACAUCUUUGGAUGCAAAAAUGUUAAUGGAAAUGCCUUUAAAUGGCUGUGGCCCGGGCCCUGAGCUGUGUGGUGCCCUGUGGCUUAUAAACACUUCAUCAGUGUGUGUGAAGAGCUGAAGGGAGGGUGGAGUCAGGCUUCUUUCACUGGUGCCCAGUGCCACCUCAAGAGAGAGAGCACAAACUGACACACAGAGCUUCCCCUCUGAAAACUAAGAAAACAUUCUGCUGUGAGAGUGACCAAGCACUGGGACACUUCCUGGAGCCAUUGUGAACUCUCCACCCUUGGAGAAGUUCAAAACCCAGACAAAAGCCUCUUUCAUACUGAGGAGUGCUUCACAACCCUGGGACUUGGACCACAUACCGAAAAAAACCCCACUUAAGGUCU
Long non-coding RNA from Pogoniulus pusillus (Red-fronted tinkerbird), 1489 nucleotides. RefSeq lists it as uncharacterized. Lineage: Eukaryota; Metazoa; Chordata; Aves; Piciformes; Lybiidae. The transcript has 4 exons. The record is from RefSeq and is a predicted model, not a curated record.